Molecule: small nucleolar RNA, 101 nt
Organism: Nannospalax galili (Upper Galilee mountains blind mole rat)
Lineage: Eukaryota; Metazoa; Chordata; Mammalia; Rodentia; Spalacidae
Product: small nucleolar RNA U13
Exons: 1
Source: RefSeq, a predicted model, not a curated record
AUCCUUUUUUGGUUCAUAAGCAUGAUGACUGGGUGUUCACGGUUGUGUGACAUGUGCCACUCUCAAACCUUGUUAAGCAUUGGUGCAUUACCCCUCUGACA